CAAUAGCGUAUAUUAAAGUUGUUGCAGUUAGAAAGCUCGUAGUUGGAUUUCGGGGCAGCCUGGCUGGUCCGCCGCAAGGCGAGUACUGGUCAGCCGCCCUUCCUCUCGAAAGCCCCGACUGCUCUUCGUUGCAGUGGUCGGGUAGUUCGGGACGUUUGCUUUGAAAAAAUUAGAGUGUUCAAGGCAGGCCUACGCCUGAAUACAUUAGCAUGGAAUAAUGGAAGAGGACCUCGGUCCUAUUUUGUUGGUUUCCAGGGCCGAAGUAAUGAUUAAGAGGGACAGUUGGGGGCAUUCGUAUUUAAUUGUCAGAGGUGAAAUUCUCGGAUUUAUGAAAGACGAACAACUGCGAAAGCAUUUGCCAAGGAUGUUUUCAUUAA
This 377-nucleotide ribosomal RNA is filed under the name uncultured eukaryote. RNAcentral describes it as "partial 18S ribosomal RNA". It matches the Rfam family "Eukaryotic small subunit ribosomal RNA", at positions 592 to 976 of the family's 1831-position model. The record is from RNAcentral.